UGGGACGUGCAGAGCAAGCAGUGCAUCC
Molecule: non-coding RNA, 28 nt
Filed under: Callithrix jacchus (white-tufted-ear marmoset)
Lineage: Eukaryota; Metazoa; Chordata; Mammalia; Primates; Cebidae
Also listed under: 1 other name
Source: RNAcentral